RNAcentral lists this long non-coding RNA (34802 nucleotides) under Phaseolus vulgaris (common bean). RNAcentral's name for it is "long non-coding RNA (PVUL_LNC004264)". The record is from RNAcentral. Lineage: Eukaryota; Viridiplantae; Streptophyta; Magnoliopsida; Fabales; Fabaceae.
AGAAGAAGAAGAAUGUGAAGGUAGUGAUAAUAGAAGAGAAGAGAUGGUGUGGUGGUGAAUUUAGAAAUUGACAUACAUCAAAACACCAACGUAUUUAGUUAUGGACUUGCAUUGCACCCAAAUAAGCUCGUUUCAUUUUAAUUCAAACUAAUUCUUUUUUACUUUUUAUAUUAAAAACAUUUUUUUACACAAGACCCCACAAUAUUGCUUAACUAAAGUUAGCUACACAAUUUUAGGUUUUGUGUGACCCACUAUUGCCUAUUUGGUAGGAAUAUACAGAUGGAAAAUCAUAAUCAAGUAGUGAGUCUCUAUUAUAUUAUUCAAUAAAAAUGCUCACAUUAAUGUCGUCAAAGAUAACUAAUAUUAAUACAACUUUAAUUAGACAUAGAUUUAGUUCAAUCGUAAAUCAUUUUUAACUAGGAAAAUCGCGUAAGACUAAAAUUGCAGUCAAUAUCAAUUUAUUGCAAUUUUUAUGCACUAUAUUAUAUGGAAUUAAAUAAGUUCAAAAAGCUUUGUGUUUAUGUAAAAUUAGCAUUUACUAGAAUAAAAUUAUUAAAUAACAAUUAAAUUUAGAUACAACAUAUAAUGAGAAGUUUAUUUUUCCUAUCCCUGUUGGGUUCUGGAUCCUUUGAUCUGUAUACAGCUGAUUCGGUAAAGCUAGUUAGCGUUUGGUUUGGUUGGUUUUUUGACCGGCGUUUUGGGUGUCGAUUUAGAAGUUAAAUUGUAUGUGUGUUUGUAAAAGGGUUGGACCACCCCUGAAGUGGUUCUCAUUUAUUGAUUUUUUAUUGCUGAUCAAAAAAAAAAACAAAUAAUUAGUCAUUUUAUUAACUAAAUUAGAUAUUAAUUUAGAGACUAAAACAUUAUUGGUAUCUAAAGUGUUUCUAUUAUUAAUAAAAAUUAUAAAAUAGUUCUAAAUUGAUAUCUAAAUUAACUACCUAAGUUUUAGUUACUAAUAUUUUAUAUGUUAAAUUGAUCUCAAAAAGACUAAUAGAAUCUAAUUUAAAAUAUAAAGUAGUAAGUAAUUAAAAUCUUGAUAGUUAAAAGUUAGAUAUCAAUUAAAAAAUCAUUUUAUAAUUUUUUAUUAAUAAUAGAAAUUACUUUAGAUACUACUAAUUGAUUUCCUUUAUAAAAUGAUCUCUAAUUUAAUUAAAUAGUAACUAAUUAUUUUAAUCUUUAAAAUUAAAUUUUAUUCAAAUUUUUUUCUCUCACCAUUCAUUAUUUGACUUUUUGGGUCUCAUUUUUUCUUCUUCCUUUUCUCUACACAUCUUAAUUGAAUUAUAAAAUUUGCUAGUAACCAUUUCAUGUUUACUUGGAUUAUAACAUAUGUGAUAUUGUAAAAAUAUAUAACAUACUUGGAUUCUAAAUUAUAGUUUUAGAAAAAUUAAUUGAUGUGUUAAUUUUUAGGUUUCAAAAGAUACAUUGAUUGUUUAGUGUGUUUCAUUGAUCAUCACAUACCAUGGUCUAAGUAUAUCACCAUGAAUGUUAAUGGGUUUUGUUCAGUGAGAACUAAAUUUAUUUUACUUUACAAAAAGUUAUGAUCUUGCAAGCAGUUACCACAGCAGUUAGAUAGUGAAUGUGGAUUUUUAAAAUUAAAUUAAAGUGGUUAAAAUCGACUUUAAUAAUUGUAAUAGCAGUAGUUAUUUUAAAUCGAGGUAAUCGAAGUUAUGUUCAGUUCGUCAAUGGAUGAAAAUCGAAACAAUAACAAUUAAAAUUACCACGAAACCACAUAUUUAAUUCACAUAAAAAAAUCAUUUUUUUAAAUAGUGUCUAGUGCUUAAAAUUGAGACUUCAUAUACUUUGAAUUCGAGUUUAGGAUAAGUUUUAACUUCUUCUUUUUGUAAUAAAUUCUUAAUUUAGCAAAAACAAAUGAUAAAUUUUUGGUGGUCGAAGAAAUUGUGAUAUUUUGUAUUAUUAAGGAAUAAACUGUUGCUAAAAAUAUUUGAAAAGCAAAGUAAUGGCAGCUUUGUGGUAGAGAACUAAAAGUCUUAGGUUCAAUUAAGACUGAAAAUGAUUCAAACCAAAUUAAUUAUGUUGUAAUAAUUGAUUCGUUGAAUUUCAUUCGUAAACCAAAUGAACCGGGUUCAAGUUAAAUAUUUAGCGUCAUAAGAAAAUGAAAUUAACUUUAAUCAUAUAUAACAUGACCCAAUUUUCAGUUAUAUAUAUAUAUAUAUAUAUAUAUAUAAUAUUUCUAUAUUAGAAAUUAAUUGGACUUAAUCUAUUUCGAUCCUAAAUUUGAUGCUUGAUAUUAUCAUUAUAUAUGAAAAAAAAUGUGAAAUCACUUUUAUAAUUUUGAAGAGCAAAAUUGAUGUUAAAUAUCUUUAAAAAAUAAAAUAAAUAAAUUUUAUAUCUUUAAAAUUUUAAAUAAAAUUCAGCAUUCAACAUAUAAAAUAUUAUAGUAUUCAUUUCACGGUAACAUUUGAAAGUAAAUCCAAUCUCCAAUGCUAUUUUGUCUUUUGUUUCUUGGUUUCAAUUAUAUUCUGAUACUCAAAUUAGUUUUAGUUUGAGUAAAAGAUGAUAUAUGAGUAAAAUGUCACAAAUUAACAAAUGUUCAAGUCAGUUUUGUAAAUUUGUCUAACUCUGAUUCUAGUGACUCUGGAACACAAUCAUGUCUUCUUGGAUUAGUCGCAAGAUAGACAAUAGGUGAUUGUUGGAGCUAACGACAAGGGUCCUUAGGCGGACUUCAUUGUCAAAGGUGCGAAGUCUGGGGAGAUUCAUGUAUGUGAUGUUGACUAUGGGUGGGUGGAUGAAUCUGUUCGAGAGUACUUCUCGAAGUAUUGAUGCUCGUCCAUGAUCGAGUCCUUUGUCACUAGUGUUGAUAUGCUAUAGGACAUUGUGUUGAUGAUACUAUAUCCCUGCGAAAAUGUAUCUUUUGAUGUUUUGUGUUAUGGAUGAGAAAGUUUUUUCCUACUUUUGUUCUUGUCUAAUAAUGGACAUUCACGUUCGAUUCCCAUUGGAAGAGUUCUUCAUGGGUGUAUUGCAAGUGUUGAAUGUUACGUUGACACUGUUACAUCUGAAUAGUUGGACAUCGUUGCAGGCUGUUCGGUUGUUGUGUCCGACAUCAAACCUGAUGUCGACACUUAAAAUUGUUCUUACAUUUUUAUAACACUAGGUCGGGAGAUCGGGUAGGGUGAUGAUAUUUGAAAAACUAUUAUUUAUUUUAGUUAUAUUGCAUUCAUAUAGAUUUUGAAUUGAAUAGUUGUUGAGAUUAAAUGUAUAUUAGAUUUUAUUUGUUAGAAUUGGAUUGAAAUAAUUGGAACAAUAAAUAUAGAAAUGAAUUGGUAUGUGCCCAAUAAUAAAGUUGUGUAGGAAUUUUCACUCAAUCGAGAUAUAUCUCAUUUAAGCGAAGUUGAAGCAGUAAGUUAGGUUUACUCUCGAUUUAAUUUUUGAUCGAACAAGAUAAAUCUCGUUCAAAUGAAAAUUAGACAGUAAAAUGUGUUUGCUCUUGACUCGAUUUUUGUUCAAACAAGAACUUUAUCUUUCAAGUGAGGAUUUAUUGCUCAUUUGAUGUCAAUUUUUACUCAAGAUAAAAGUCCUAAAUAAAAUUAAUUUAGAUAUUUUAAAAAGGUGUUUCUUUAGUUUAGUUAAAUGUAUAUACAUUUAUAAAAAAAUAUUGAAUUAUAUGUUAACAUUUGAAUUGUUUAAUUUUAUUGAAUGAAUUAUGCUUAUAGAAAUGUAGUGUUUAUUGGUGACUUCUUAAAUGUAAUUUCGGGUGAAUUGAUGGUCUAUGAUGUGAUGUAAACCAUAGUAUUUACCAAUGAGGUAAUGAUAUGUAUUGUGUAGUAGUGAAAUAUAUUUAAUUUGGAAUCUUUACAAAAAGAUAAUUUUGACUUUAUUGUUUACUAAACUCACUGACAUAAAGAAAGAUAACAAAAGAAAAUAUUUAAUUGAUGUUUUCAUGACUUAACUUGCUAUUUGAAACGCAAUUGAGUUUUAAAAGUUAUAAGAGUUUAUUCUACCAAUAACUAGACAAUGUUAAUUGUCUUUUUAUCAAGAUAAUGAUAAUGUGAUAACUUCCCGCAUAAAUUUUGAAGUAUAAAUUCAACUUAUUUCUAUAUUCUUUUUUUUUGGAAUUCAUCACAUUUUAAGAGGCGAAGAAAUGUAGGAAAACUCACAAAUCAAGAAAUAAAAAGUAAUAAAAUACAAAAAUUGAGGCAAAAGUGUUUUAAGUCUUCUAUGUUCACAUAUUUGCGAAGAUUUACGAAAAAUGUGAUUAAAAAUAUAUAAAUUAUAUUAAUAUAUAUUUUAUAAUUAUUAUAUUAACUAUAUAUUAUUAAUCAAUUCAUAUUUAUAUUUUAUUAUAAUAAAAUAAGUAUAAUUAAUUAUAUAAAAUAUUAUAAAUAAUAAUAAUUACUGAAAAAAUUAAUAAAUAUAUAAAAUGAUAAUUAAAAUAAAAAAAUUAAUAAUAAAUUUAUGAAAUAAUAACUAUAAUUAAAAAAAUUAUAAUUAACAAUUAAUAAUGAUAAAAAUAAAUAACAGUAAAAUUAAAAUUAAUUUAUAAUAUAUAUUUUAUAAUUAUUACAAAUUUACAUAAUACCAUUAAAAAGUCAAAAUUAUCCUUAAUUUUAUUUGUAUAAAAUAUUUAAUAAUAUUAUUAUAUAUAUAUAAAUAAUAAUAAUAAUAAAUAUAAAUAUAAUUAUUUAUACAAUAUAUUAUUAUUAAUAAUUAUAAAAAACAAAUAUAUAAAUUAAUUAAUUAUUUUUUUAUUAUUCAUGUAUUUUUAAAAAUAAAGAUAAAUUUAUAAACAUAUAUUUUAAAUCUUUUAAAAAAAUUAAAAAUUUUAACACAACCAUCGUAUCAUUUAUAAAAUUCAAUAAACUUUUCUCACAAAUCUACUUUAAGAUACUUCAAUCGCUUUCCAAAUGAGUCUAAAUUCACUAUGAAAAAUCUCAUCCCCAAUUCAAAGAAUCUCAUCCCCCCAAUUCAAAGAGAGCAUGAUGAGUUUAAUGUGAUGUGAGUCCAAUAUGUGUGGGAUGUGACACAAAAUAGAUACACACUUGAAUUGCCCAUAUAUAAAUCACAUGUACGGUGUGAAUGCCAAAUGUCUGAGAUUCAUGUAAAUUAGGUAAGUUCUUGUAAAUUUUCUAUCACCUUGAAUUGCCAUUCAAAAUUGAAAGUAACCUUCCCUAAACAUUUUAAGAAAAUUCUAACACCAGAGACCUUAUGGUAAACAAACUGGGAUUAUAUUAAAGGGACUAGAAGAAGUGUUGCAUUGAUAGUGUUUAUAAACUAUUUUUGACCUGAACUCUGAAGAAUUCUGAACAAUUGUGAGACUAUAUUGAAAGUAUUGGAACAUAUCAUAUGAUUAUUUGUUAAUUAGGGAAUCCCAGAAACUGUAACUGUUAUCACGUUCCAUUGCAGAUUAAUCACAAAAACAUGAUGAAUGUUAUCUUACAGAAAGAAAUUCUCAGAUGGGUAUAGUUCCAUGCCAUGCUCUGCUACUUUUGCCCAGUGAGAAUCUGUGGCUGGAAAACGAUCUCUUCAUUGCAAUUGGACUCAACACACAAUGCAGCACCCUUGUUUUGUAACUCUCUCUGCGUGAUCUCUUUGAAGGGCCAGGUUCAGUGGUAGAACACCCUUCCACAUAUGAAUCUUCCUCUUCAUGCCUCUGAAACGAAUGGUCCAUUGACACUGACCUACCAACGGAUUCACACACUUCAUCUCUUAUCUCAAUCACUCUGUGCCUUCCCUGCAAGCUACUCAAGUCACUAAAAGCACGCAAUGCAGGCUUUGGAUAAGCCCUGGCAUGGUGUAUGCCUUCUUCUUCCAACAUCACCACCACUCCAUACUCAUUGCCACUUCCAACACUUUCACUCUCAGAAAAAGUUUCAUUGUUCCUUAAAGAAGGAGCCUCUUCCUCUGGGGUAUGAGCCCGAGGAACAGAACCGUUGUUGAAGGUGAAUAUGGCAGCACGACAAAGGGGGCAGCUAGAGUGAGACUUGAGCCAAGUGUCGAUGCAAGGGGCAUGGAAAACGUGGCUGCACUUUGGCAACAGUCUAACACUUUCAUCGUCUUCAAACUCGCUCAGACAAACUGAACAAUCCGUGACUGCAACAGAACCACCAUCCCUUUUCUUGUACUUGAAAAUUGCAAUGGAUUUGAUCAGAGCCUCGUCAAGCCCGGUGCUUGAAGCGUUCCAUGGUUCGUGGAGAGAGGGAUUGUGAGUGGCUUGCAAGUUUUCAUUUGGGUCUCUGCGUGCAGACUCUCUGGGGCCACAGUACUUGGAUAUGAGAGUGUAGUAACUAGCCAGAAGAAAAGCAGUGGCCAUGAUUCCAAUGAUUGCAAUGACAAGAGGAGAGAAAUUUGGGCUUGAAUCAUCAUCAGGGUACUCAAAAGGUGGAGGAGGAGGAUACACUAUGUAACACCACUGUGGACAAUACAAGCUACAAAAUCCUUGAGAACAGUCUUUGCUGUUCAUGUAUGGAAUCCAAGUUCUGGGGUUGGCAACAGCGGCCAUGGAUACUAACUCAUGAAUUAUCUCAGAAUCAUGGUUUUCUGUGUUCCUAUCUGGUAUGUUUUCGUUUUCUGACAAGUGAAAGAAGCUAUUGACAGUUUAACAUCUCAGAGGACUAAAGAACACGACUUAAAUAACAAACAGAUAGCAAUAAUAGGUAGCAGAAGAACUUGUAUAUUACAUAACAAGAAAGGAAAAUUAAGGGGUGAAAAAGUUAUAUGUGAAAACAAUGAAUAGAAGCAUAGGUACAAAAUAAAGGGAAAUGCUUAUGAGUGGGAGAGAGAAAGGGAAAGAAGAGCAUGCAGAGAGAGUUUUGGCAGAACUCACGUUUCCUUCAAGACAAGAGAAAACGUGAAUAAGAGGCCAAAUGCUUUAGAUGGAAAGCAAAUUGGAACUCUGGUGGGAAUACUUUAACUUUUCUUUUUCCUACUUCUUUUUCUUUUGCUGUUCAUAGCUUCCUUUUGUUUUUGUCUAGUUUAUAUAUCUUGGUUGAAAUUUUUUGUUGACCAAGAGGGAGGAGUACGGUGUGGUGAUGUUGGUUGGGAAUUUAUUAAAAUGAUCAAUGCUUUUUGAUUUUUCUUUUUGUCCUAUACUACCAUCCAAUUCAAUGAGAUUUCAAUUCUUCAUCUUAUAGAUUAUUAAGAGUUCAUUAAUGGCUACAGCUAUGAGAGGAGAUAAUUUGGCCGUCAAGUUAGUUGUACCUGACAUGGAAGUGGGGUUAUGCUAUAAAUUUUUGAACAUGUUUCAGUAUUCAAUCACCAUAAGCCAUGUAAAAACCAGAAAGAUAUCUUGAGAAAUUGCUUCUGGUUCUGUGGUGAGUCUUUGAAUGUAAGCAUAUCACAGUGCUCUUUAAAAAAGAUUUCACAAAAAAUAGUAACGAAUCUAUUUUGCUGUGAACACUUGCACUUUUGCUAUUUAAUAAGAUAUGGUGCUCCACUGUCUCUUCCCUAUGCAUCAUAUAGAUCCUUUCAGCAACUUUAGCUGUGAUUAUCCUAUUUUACUUGAAUUCUGAAUCCUAUAGUGAAUCCAAGAACUUAUAUUUUUAAUUGUGAAUCAUUUUAUAUGGUAAAUAGUAAGAUUCGUAAAUAUUUUAAAAAUAUAACACAAAACAUAAAUAUGUAAAAAUAUAAUUAAUAAUCACAAUUAUGUUAAAAAAGAAUGAUUGUAUUGCUAAUCAGAUUAGGUUAAUAUUAUAAUGGUUGGAUUUGACUGGAUUGAAUGGUCCAACUACUUUGUUAAAUGCAAGAAAAAUUAAAAUUAGAGUUUUUAUAAAAUUUAAGUGAUCUUAUAUGAUUCACACCUAAACCUAAAAUAAAACUCUAAGCGAUGAUAUAGAACUGGUUCACAAUUCAUAUACUUCGUGAUACUAUUCACACGAUACAACUGCAAUACAAGAAUAAAAACAAUUAUUACACUACAAAAAAAUCAUCAAAUAGAAACCAAUUUUUAGAGACCAAAAUAAUUAGUUGUAAUAGUAACUAAAUUAGAGACCAUUUUAGAAACUAAAAAAAAAUUGGCUUUUAAAUUAGUUUAUCUUAUUGUUAAAUAGUUUAUAAAUUGGUAUCUAAUUAGCAACCAAGGUUUUAGAGACCAAAUUUAGAAACUAAAUAAUUAGUAGUUAAAACUUUGGUUGUUAAUUAGAUACUAAUUUAGAAACUAUUUAACAAUAAUAGAAACUAGUUUAAAAACCAAUUUUUUUUUUAGUUUUUAAAAUUGUUUCUAAUUUAGUUACUAUUGCAACUAAUUAUUUUGAUCUCUAAAAAAUCAUUUUUAUUUCAUGAUUUUCUUGUAGUGUUAUGACAAUUUGUAUCGCAUACAUCUGGAACCCCGUAUCGUAUUGUAUGAUUCGUACAGUGAAUCGUAACAUAUUUACUACUAUGUUUUGCAUGUGUAUAUUUUUUUUCCUUAGUAAAUAUUUUUCUCUCCAUAACUUGUGAUUAACUUCUUUUGUAAGGAAAUAUUCCAAUAUUAAAAUAUAUAAGUCCUUGAAGGGUACCCUAUCAUAGAUAAUAAACCAAACCUUGUGUUACACGACAACAAAUCCUUUACUCAUUUGGUAACCUAAUUAUAUCGCUGCUUCAUUUGACAUCAUGAUAUAUGUUGCACAUAUUCAUGACGGAAUAAAGGUGCAGUAAGAAAAAAAAGAGGCUAAAAUUAUGGUCCGUUUUAAAGGUUGUGGUCAAUUAUAAUUGUCACUUUUCAAGAAGCACUUAACCAACCAAGGGACCCUAUUUUCUGCUUUUUCAACCUCAUUUCAUGGGUGGCAUCACUAGCUGAUAGACAGACAUCUAUGAUCUUACUGUUAUAUAUAUAUAUAGACAGAUAGAUACAGUUUUGAAGUGUUAGUUUGUUAAGAAUGUGUCUGAUACCAUAAGCAGCCGUCGUUACAAACGAAAGGAGCAGCAGAAUGAUAGGCACAAAAACCAAGAAAUUCUUGAAAUGAGCCCUUUUUGAGUAUUUGACAGAUCAACUUAAAAGGAGAUCCUUAGUUUCAUGUCCAUUAUUAGCUCCUUCUUUCCUUUUUUCUGGAUCUGUAUGUAUCGGUACGGACAGGUUAUUAGGUUAUUCGGUUUCGGUGACAGAGCUUGAAUGAGAGUAAUCAUAAUUAUGAAAACUUUUCAAUAAUUACUUUCUACUAAUAAAUUUAAGUGAUAUCAAUAUAUUAAUAUAUCAAUUUAUCAAUAUAUUUUUCUAUAAAUUUAGAAUUAUGUUAUAAAUCUGAAUUUUAAAACUAACUCAAUUUCAUAAAAUCAGCUUAUGAGAUGAGGUUUACACUCACUUAUAUACAAUGAAAUAUCCUAAUUUUUAGUCAAUGUGUUAGUACUUGAUGAGGAUCUCCAACAAAAUCAGUUAGUACUUGAUAUUUGAUUAUUCAAUUCAUCAUAAUGAGUACUCAUGACUAAACAUUAUAAAUAAACACUUUAUUAAGAUAUACUUUAAUCAACUUUUAUAAUACACUUUUAUACAGAACACUUACUUGAUUGUCGAAACACUUUUUUCAAGUCAAUUUGGAUCGAACACCAACAAUUAAAAGAAAAAAUUUAAAAAGAGAAAUGAAUAGGUAACCGACACAUAACAAUUGUACAACUAGUUUUAUGUAUUAUCUAGGUCCAUUUUAUCUACAUACAAUAUCUGUUCGGGUAUCUUUAUAGCAAGAAAAAAAAAAUAGAUGAGUGAGUAAAGACCAUAGGUAUAAAAAUAUCGGGUAUCUUUAUAGCAAGAAAAAAAAAAUAGAUGAGUGAGUAAAGACCAUAGGUAUAAAAAUAUAACUCAUGCAUACUUUGAAAAAUAAAUUAACUGUAAUGAAAAAUCAAUUCGUAAUAUUUUUAAAAUAAAAUUUGACAUAUUAUAUUAAUUUAAAAUGAGAUGAAAUAUAUUAUAUUCUACAUUUGUUAUUAAUUGGAUUGAUGUAAAAUAUACUUAAAAUCCUCUGUUUUGAUACUAUUACCGUAGUUGGAGAACCUUGUAGCACCACCUUUCGACGACCCAACACUAUAUAUCACUUGUCGUCACCAACUUUUGCCACCACCAUCUCACAUUACGUGUGAUGAUGAAUUCUAACUUAUAAGAACAUAGAAUUUUAUUUUAAGAAUUUUUUAUUUCUAUUAAAUAAAAAUUAAACAAUAACUAUUUUUUUGAAAUAAACUUGUCUAGUUUUGUUUACAAUGUGCAUUUCAAGCUUCUUGGGACGGGCUAAAGAUCAUAAACCUAGAUUUGGGCCUUGCUAGCCCAAAAUGCAAAAUCUAUGUUUUGGAGGUGACGGGUGAGAAAUAAAAUCUAUAUUUCUACGUGGUUCGAAUAGAAACUUUUUCUAGCCCAGUUGAACUUAAGAAGGGUAAAAAUGAUGAAAGGAUUUCCACUUCCAUACUUUUUUUUCAUCCCAUAAACAUAAAAAAUUCCAUUUUGCUAUCUGUAUUGUACAAUCUAGAAAUCAAUUUGUUUCUAGAUUGCACAAUUCCAAAUAGUGUAAUUUAAAGGCAAAAAAUAUUUUCGAAUGCAAUUUGAAAGUCAAAAAUAAAUUUUGAAUGGUAUAAUUUAAAAAGUAUUUUUUUAAAAAAAAUAAAAUUAAGAAUCGUGUAAUUUAGAAUGAAAAAAUGAUUUUUAAUUAUGAAAUUAAAACCUAACUCAAAGUGAAACUAUAUAUUAUGGUGGUCGAUAACGACAUAUAAGAUUAACAAACAAUUAUUAAAAAAUUAAAAUAAUUAUAAUAUCAUAGUAAGAAGUGUAUUUUAAUUCAACUUCAUAAAAUUAACUUAUAAAAAGAAUUCAACACUUUACUACAAUGCAUCACUCUUUAGAACCACAAUUUGUGAAGAAACUCUUUAGAACCACAAUUUGUGAAGAAGAAAAGGAUAUAUGAGAAAGUGAAUUCAACAUUGGUCUAACCUAAAAAAGAGGGGCUGUGAAAAAUUUACAAGUAGCAUCAUAAGUUUAAACAAUGAUAAUGAUAUCAUAAUGUAAGGAGAGAAGUUGAAAUAAAAUAUUAAUAUCAUUAGUGAUAGAAUAGCUACAACCCCACUGCAAAGGCACGAUGAGGAGGACUAGAUUCUUUCUUGUGAUUUCUCCAAAGACCCACAUUGCUCUCAUGCCUUUCUACUUUCUCCUCCCUUUGCACUAAUACACAAGCUAUUCCUUUCCAAAAAGUGCUCCUAGAACAUGAAAACCCUAAUUAUUAAAAUGCUAUAAAACUUUGCUAAAGAAGCUUUUAAGUAUCCAAGGUAAGGAACAAAUUCACGUGGGGUUAAUUAGGAACCACGACUCCUCUAUAUUGCUAUCUAAAACCUAUCUAUUCUCCUUGUAAUUAAUCAAACCAUAAUGGCACUCAGCAACAAUGUGAUAGGAGCCAUCAACUUCGUUGCACUGCUUCUCUCAAUUCCAAUCAUUGCUGCAGGGAUCUGGCUAACAACAGAGCCAGCAGAUUCGUGUGUCAAAGUUCUGCAAUGGCCUGUGAUAAUCUUGGGGGUUCUGAUACUGGUAGUGGCUAUAGCAGGGUGUGUAGGAGCCUUUUGGAGAAUGCCUUCGCUUCUGGUGUUCUACCUGGUUGCCAUGUUUGUGCUUAUUGUGUUGCUUGUUAGCUUGGUGGUUUUCACCUAUGCUGUGACCCUUAGAGGCCAUGGGAACAUUGAACCAAAUCGCUCCUACUUGGAAUAUCGUAUCGAUGAUUUCUCACUUUGGCUUCGUCGAAGAGUAAGAAGCUCCAACAGAUGGGACAACGUUAGACGGUGUCUUAUGUCAUCAAAUAUAUGUGCUGAGUUGGAUCAACGGUACCGAACGCCACAGGACUUCUUUAAUGCACACCUAACCCCCAUUGAGGUAACUCAAUUUCUUCACUUCCUAAUUACACUCUGAUUUUCUAAUAACAUCAUUGCGAGUAAACAACUAGUUAAUUUAGUUAUUAAUACUAAACUUUUUUGUUCCCUUAAAACACAAUCUUCUUCACCAAGCAAAGCAUGUUGUGCAAAUUUUUUUAUCAGCAAAAUAAAAUAAAAUGAUACACUUCAAGAAUGUUUUAACUCUUAUACAGACUCUUCAGAAGUGUUUCGAUCCUUAUAAAAAAGUUACCAAAGUUAAUAUAUAGACAUUUUUCAAACUUUACAAAUCACCAAAUUAGUCCUCAAAUGAAAAAAAGUGAUAAGUCACAUUAAAAGAAAUCAGCAUGUACAUAAGAGAUCCUUAUAACCAGUAUUUAGUUAAAACAAUACACACAAUACAUCCUCUAAUACAAUCAAAAGCCCACAAACACAUUUACAAAGCAAAUUCUCUCCCCUACAACCAAAACCCACAAAACCACUCAAAAUUAAACUUGAUUUCUUCAAAAUCUAAAAAAACUUUAUCUGUCAACUAACUUGUCUGGGAGCAGCAAUACCUGUUCUUAGCCUCAGCAACUAUAUAGCUUGUUGUGCAAGUAACCAUCAUUUGAGAUAUCUGGCUUCUGAUAAGAACAAAAAGAAGAGAAAGGUUAAUUCAGCUUUUGCCCCCUCAAAUGUUAUUCCUUUUGAAUUUUCAUGUGAUGCAGUCAGGGUGCUGCAAGCCCCCAACAAAAUGUGGUUACACGUUUGUGAACCCAACGUAUUGGAUUAGCCCCAUUAACACGGCAGAAGACAUGGAUUGCAUGAAGUGGAGCAACGACCAAGCACAACUUUGCUACAACUGUGACUCAUGCAAAGCUGGUUUAUUGGCAACCCUUAGGGUGGAGUGGAGAAGGGCCAAUGUGAUAUUGAUAGUUACCCUUGUUGCUUUAAUUGCAGUGUAUUUGGUAGGGUGCUUUGCCUUUAGGAAUACCAAAACGGAUGAGCUCUUUAGCAAAUACAAGCAAGGUUACUCUUGAUUCAGAACAUCGAAUAUGUUUUAUACUUUGAGGGACUGCUAGUGUUAGAUAAUGAACACUCAAUGCUGCCGGUGGUGGAAACUCAUUUUGUGUUCUCUUAGUUAUUGAAUUUUUUUAUUAAAGAGAAACCAUAUGAAUUUGUGUUAUUUCCUUUAAUCAUCUAUUUGAGAAGAUUUUUUUCUUUUCUAUUUAACUUUUGAGUAUUUUGAAGAUACACUACAAGAAAAAUUAUAUUUAGAGUGGGUUAAAGAUUUAGUGGAUUAAAGAUAGACAUAAAAAUGAAAAAAGGGACAAUCCAAAAAUAGCAUCCAUAGAGGGUGUGUGUUCCAAAGUUGGAUGCUAAUUCUUUUGUGUCGGCAUGUAGUUAGUAGUGUGGGCUAAGUCCUCUAAAUAGAAGCUAACAACGGACUGUUUCUUCCUGCACCUCCAUAUCUUCUUCUGACACCUCCAUACACAACAUGAAAAUACAUUUUUAUCCUUCUUGUGCCACUCCCAUAGAAUAACUUCUGGAUUAUGUAAUCUGGAAACACAUUUGAAAAAAAACUUCCGGAUUACAUAAUCCGGAAGUUAAGAAAAACUUUCGGAUUAUGUAAUCCGAAAAGUAAUCAUACAUAUGAAAAAAGACUUCUGAAUUAUAUAAUUCGGAAGUUAAUUACAAAUUUAAAAAACGACUUAUGGAUUAUGUAAUCCGGAAUAUUCUAGAGGGGCAUUUUUGAAAAUACGAAAAUCUAUGGAGGUGAGAGAAGAAGGUAUGGAGGUGCAGGAAGAAGCAGCCCUAACAACGUAGGUAAGGGUAUCACUAAGGGUGUGUUUGCUUCCAAGUGGGAGGAGGGAGGGGGGAGGAGGGAGGGGGUGUUUUUUGUGUUUGUUUCCAUGGUUUUGAGAGUGGGGGAGAGGAUGGGGGAGAGGGUGGAGGUUUUUUUCAUUCUUCACAAAAUGAAGAGAUUUGUGGGAAUUUAGUAGGAUUAAUGCAUUUUAGCAAAAUACCCUUGUGCAUGCAUUUUAUUUUAAUAUAUAAAAUUAAAUAUUACAUAAAUUUAUUUAUUAUUUAUAAUUUCAAAAAUAUUUAAUUAUACUAUUAAUAACAACAUAUAAUUAUAAAUAAUAAAAUAAUAAAAUAAAAUUAUAAUAUCAACAAUAUAUAUAGUUAUAUAAAUUAACAAAUGAAUAUUAUUUUCAUAAAUUUUAAUGUAUUUAAUAAAUUUAUUUCAAUUUAACACCAAAAUAUUCUAUAUUAUAUUUUUAAAUUUUUUAUUAAAAAUAUAAAUAAUUAUGAAUAUUAUACAUUAAAAAUAUUUAAUUAAUUUAAAUCUAAAAAAAUAAAAUCAUAAUUCAUUAUUUAAAUAUUUUUUUUAAUAAGAAUGACAAUUUUGUAAACUUACAAUAAACCAUCCUCACAAAUCCACUCUAUCAUCCCUCAAUCCAAACAACCUCACAUAUCCUCUCCAAUCCUCACAAAUCCACUCCCUCCCCUCCUCACAAAUCCCCUCCUCAAUCCAAACAAAGCCUAAUAGAGUAGACCAAGCUAUUUAAGAUUGUCCUUAAAAAAAAAGUUACAUGAUAAAAAUAUAUGGAAGAAGAGGUCAAUGUUUGACCUUCCAAAUUUUGUCAUUUUUUUAUAAGACAUUGUAUUGAUGUUAUUUGAGUGGAGAAAAUAUAUAUAAUAGUCUUAUUAAUACAUUGUUGAAUAUUAAAUGGAAGAUUGAAAAUCGUGUUGGUUUUUGUCAAUAUGUUUGUAAUAUGUCAUAUUAUAUUAAUUAGAGAUUUUUUUUUUUCCAUUUUUUUUAUCUCAUGGUUCAAUUAGUUGUACAUUUGGUUACAUAGAUAUGAAAUGGAACCCUAAUUAUUUAGGAUGAAUUUAUAUAAUUGAGUAAUAGAUCAAGAUUUGAAGUAUAAAGAAUCCAUAUCCACCUAAAAUCUCAAUACUCAAAAGGGAUUUAUGUUUAUGGAUGAUAAAUGUGGAAGGGUACUUGGUAUUAGAAAAAUAAACAAAAAAUGUUGUUAACUUAUACUUGCAUGCACCCAUGAGAUUUUUCCUACAUCAUUAAAUAAAAAUUGGAGACAAAAAAAAUAAUUACUUUCUGUAUUAAUUAAAUUAAAUACUAUUUUAGAUACUAAAAAAUUAUUGGUAGUUAAUUAGUUUUUAUUACUAAUAAAUUUUUAAUAUCUAAAAUAGUAUCUAAUUUAAUCAAUAUAGUAAUUAAUUAUUUUUAAUUUUAAUUUUAAUUAUUAUUUAAUAUUUUUUUUAAUAGUGUUAUAUGUAUUUAAAUGAUGUAAAAUGUCCUAAAAUAAUCCGUGAAAUUUUUUAGUUAGAAUAGUUUUAUAAUUAUCAACAUAUGAUUAAUACAAUCAUGAAAUAAUUAAAAUAUUUAGUUGUAGUUAAUUUUAUUUUACAGUAGAUUAGCAAUACCAUAAAAUUAUCACUGGUUAGUUGUAUAUGAAUAUCAUUAAAUUUGCUUAAGUAACUAAAAAUAAUUAUUGCGAUUGAACGAAACAUUUAUUCGGUUAAGUGAAUAAAAACAAAUGAUUGUGAUCGAAUCAAAUAUUUCUAAGAAGUUUAUAGUAUCUUAUGUAAUGAUAAUUUUAUCUCAUAACUAACUAAUAAUGUUAAUUAUAGGGUUGUUGAAAUGUCAAAUAAUAGUUAACCAUAAACCAUCAAGAAAUUCAUUAAAUAACAACUAAAAUUAGAGAGAAAAAUAAUUAGUUAUUAUAUUAAUUAAAUUAUAUAUUAUUUUUGAGAUUAAAAAAUUAUUUAUAUAUUAAGUAGGGAUGGCAAAGCGGGACGGGCUGACCUUUUCACCCCGCUAACCCGCAUUAGCCCGCCCCGUAUUAGCUCGCAGCCUACGCGGGCCAGCAGCAGGGCGGGACGGGCUGGCCUGCUAAUCCGCAAGAAAAAAAAUUUGGCACUUAGCAGCAACAGGACAAUGUAAUUAGGUUUUCACAAAAUUUAAAAGAAAGAAACACAACACAAUCGCGUCAAUAAUGUUUUGGAAUUAGGUAUUUUUAAUGUUUUGGAAGUGGAAGAAUAAUGAUAUUUGAUAUUUAUCUUAAUGUUUAAUGUUUUGAUGUUUGACUAUGUUUGAAAGGGAAGUUUUAGGUUUGAUAAUAACAAAUAUAUAGGUUUAAUUUAACAAUUUGUUAAGAACAAAAUGUAAAAAAAAAUAUUUAAUUUGUUUUAAAAAAAAAAGAACGUGGGUCGGUCCGCAAACUCGCAGGCCAGCUCUGGGGCGGGUCGAGAAUUCUAGUCCGCAAUAACUUUGCGGGACGGGCCAAUGCGGGGCGGGCUGACCCGCUUUGCCACCCCUAAUAUUAAGUGAUUUUUAUUAUUAAUAAAAAUUUAUAAAUGAUUUCUAAAUUGAUAUCUAAAUUAAUUACCAUGGUUGUAGAGACUAAUUUAAAAUUUACAAAUUUUUAUUAAUAAUAAAAACUAUUUUAGAUAUAAUAACUUGUUUAAUUUCUGAAGUGAUCUUUAAUUUAGUUUAAUAAUAAUUAAUUAUUUUAGUUUUUAAAAUUAAUUGUAAUUUGAUGAUUUUGUUAUAGUGUGUAUAACAAAAUUAAUGUUAUUUGUGAUUAAAUGUGUAAUUUUGAACCAUUCCAGAACAUUAUAUCCAUAUUAUUUUGUCUUAAGCAAGGUUAGGAGUUGGGUUGGUACUGGUUUUGGUAGCUUUAAUGACAGUUCAUAUUUGUUGAACUUUAAACAAUAAGACAAAAUCGGUUUUGAGGGAAACCUUGUUUGGUUCAUAUCAAUUCUGAUAGAUUUAGAGACUAGUCAUUUUUGACAACCUGUUAUAGCUGGCCAUGGGCCCAUAAUAUCUUUUUGUCCAAGCCCAGCCCACUUUAUUUAACUGAAAACUAGGCCUACCAAAUCAGUUGGUACCCUCCAUUUUAGUGGCCUUAUAUGAAAUUACCUACCACAUUGCCCAAUUAAUGUCCUUUUUUUUAAAAUAAAAAAAAAAUUGUUUUAAGUUUUUAUUAUGUAAUUUUUUAAGAUUUAACAUUAAAAAAAUAGUGUUGAAAUUGUUAAUUUAUUUUAAAAGUUUAAUUUCUUAAUACUAAUAAAAAGUUAAUAUUCAAAUAAAAUUUAGACUGAAUUAUUCUACUGAAAUUAAUUUUAUAAAAUACAUAAUAUAAUUUUUUAUGGAUCAGACGAGACUAAUUAAAUUUUGUAACACAUUUUCUAUUGACCAAACGGAUCUAAAUAAUUAGACUCAUUUCAGAUACACACAACUUAACAUGGAAAUCAGAUAGAAGUCAUUUCUAUAAGGUGCAAGGGAUCAGACCCUUUCCUAUUUCACGCGUAAGUGUGUGAGAUUGUGGUGGCCCCAGAAAGUUUAGGUUCAAUAGGAAUUAGGACUGCUACCAAUCCCAUAGUCAAUUCAAGAGUGGGAAACCAAUUAAUGUGGGACACUCCCUAAACUUUAAGACACCAAAACAAAAAUGAAGUGCUCUUUGGUGAAGUGUGUUUUGGUAAGUGUCUGCUUUGAGGGAUAGGCGUAAAAUAUGUGUGGGUGGGUUGAGUCAAUAUUGUUGUACUUGUCCCAUGAAUGACAUGGAUGAAGUGGAAAUUGUAGGACGUGUGGUAGGGUGACAGCCCUAAACCCUAAAAGUGGAUGAUGAUUGGAAUCUUAGUGGCGUGGCCCCUGGGAAGGGACUUCACACAACUAUCUUAACAAACCAACAAAAACAAAUCAUUCAUUCAUAUUCAAGAGAGUUGACUCCUACACAUACCCCACACUUUCCUUCUUCUCUUACGUUACGUUAACUGGAUUAGAAUAAUUGUGCCUAUCUCCUCAUCCCAUCCAUUAACUAAUCACUUCAAAAUGCCUCUCUCCCAUUCCCUUAGAGGUCAUCUUCAACUUCCAAAUACAUCUCAUUCCCUCUCAUUUGCUUGUUUUUGUGUACCACAAACAUUUUUAAUAAGAGAUUUCACAUCAAAUAUAAAUAAAUACAUUUUAUAAUAUAAGUAUAAACUUUAUUUUAUAAGUUAGUUUUAUGAGAUUAAGGUAGACUUAAAGUUCACUUAUUCUUAAUAUGAUAUCGUAGUUAUUAGAAUAUAUCAUAACAAAAGUUUGUUGAACCGAUCAGGUCACCAGAUGUUUGUGGUCGUAAUUGUUGUAGAAUAGAAAGUAGAUAUUGCAAAGAAACAGAAAAGCGAUUUUUGAAACCACGGUGCCUAGUCUUGCGGAAGCUUUUGGAGAGCGUUGAUUGAAGAAAAUGUGUCAAAUGCGGUUAUGAACGUGCAACAACAAAAUAAAUUCAUUUCUGAAGGUGCAACAACAAAUGAAAAUCAGUUAUGGAGAUAAAAAAAAUCUUUGAUUCCUCUCCCUCUAUAAAAAGGAGGUUCCAUCCUCUUCAAAAACACAUCUUUAUUGCCUCUUCCUUCUACCAUAUCACUUCUUCCUAUUACCUUUUCACUUUUUCUCUUUCUCUCUCAUCAUUUACUAUUAUUAUAUUUCUGGGUUCUAUUGGGUAUUACUCUUUUAAGAGUAACUUGCUAGUUUUGAUCAUCGAAAAUCUUCACGAAGUUUCUGUUGUAUCCUGAGGAACUUGCGCAAUACACUGCGAAUAGAUCCUUAUGGACAAUGAUUACUUACCUCUCAGAAAUCUAUUUUUGUUCGUUUUAAAGUCUAUUUUACUACAAUGAGAGAAUGUUGAAACUUAGGGACAAGAAUGUUAUGGGGGCUUUGCUUCAUCCUUAUAUACUAGAGCAACCAUACUUUUGUUUGGUUGAUUGGUGAGUCGUAUACUUGAAAACAAAGGUGUAUUUGGCGAAGUGUGUUAUCCUUAUAGAUGAAAGUCGAAAUGGAAGAAGAAAGGAUAGAGAAAGUGGUACACUAAUGAGUGUACUAUAUAUAAAUUGAGUCAUGCGUUGUGAAUUGUUAAAUUAGCAACUUGUUGAGGCGAUGUCAUCAUCAAUUUCCCUAUAUAUGCCAACAAAUUCUCACUGCCAAUAAUAUAGCUUUUCCUAUAAUUUUUUUGUGUUCUACUCCCUACCUUUUUUAUACCCAGAUUAUCAUAUUAAAUUCCUGUGCCGCCAAAUUAUUAUAAUUUCCAACAUAAAAUCCAAAUGUGUGGCUGUUAACCCAAAUAAUAUUCUCAAGAAUUUAUUUCAAAGCUUCAAAGUAUAAGAAAAACUUGUCCUUUCAUAUAUACCGAUAUUUUGUAGACAAAAAAUGGGUUUUUGUUUUUCACAAACACUAUAAUUUCAUUUGAUAUCUUUUAAAAUAAAAAUAUAUUUUAAAAAUUCAACAAGUCAUAAUUGUUAUUAUGCAUAAUUUUAAUUUUUAUAUUAAACUGAAGUUGUAUCUGAUAAAUACGAUAUUUAUUAAUUUUUACUAAAAUCAUAUUUUACAUAUAUGUCAAAAUGUUUUUUCAGGAUCUAGAAACAAUUAACUCAUUUUUCUUUCGUCUUCUCGGCUUCUCAAUCUCUUGAUAUUGACUUGGACUUUCGGCUACAAUGUCCACUAAUUUGGAUUUGGGUUGAAUUUUGGGUAAAGGAUAUGGGUUCUCACUUGUUAAGCUUGGUCAGGUUCAACUUUCGACUUUUGGGCUCUAGGUUAACUCUCGGGCGGGUGUGUACCUACAAGAGGUUUCGAUGAUAAAGUUAGAAUGAUAUUUGAUUAUCAAAUAAAAAUCACUCUACAUACCUCUUAGGCAGAUCGCCUAUUUAUAACACUCACUUGUUGGGUUUCUGACUUAAUUGGACUUUUACUUUUUACACCUUACAAUUAUGAAAUAUACUAUAACUGUUUUGGACCUAUUUAUUUGAGCUUUCAUACCGUAUUUCCUUAUUUCAUCACAUUCUCUCGGUCUUUCGGCCUAGCCAAUAGUCCAAUUUCAAAACAUUUUUUUAUUCAUUUUAAAAAAUAUUAAAUAAAAUUACAUUAUUUGAUAUAAAAAAAAAUCUUAUUUUUAAAAGAGUGAUAUGUGUUUUGUGGAGGAGAGAAACAAGAUCUCUACUCACAUAGAAACAAGAGCAACGUUAUCGGAAUAAAGGAAGUAGUGUUCCCCCACAGAGAGUUAUGCGUGCAAGACAAGUACCGUGGGAACCAAGUAUUGCAAAAAAAAAAAUAAUGAAUUAAAAUGGUCUAAUGAUCCAAUAAAUAAAAAUUGAGAGUUUUUUUAUUCUAUAAUUAUAAAAAUUAAUAAGAAUUAAAAAAAAUUAUAAUUAUUUUUCUAUACAUAUUUAUUACAACUUUAUUACUUUUAUGUUUUUAGUAACUAUAUUUUAUUGUACCAAUUGGUAUAUAAAUUUUUUAAUUGAAUUCAUUUACUUUUAUUAUCAUAGAAAUAUGGACAUAAAUAUUUCAUAUAAGCGUGGACAAAAAUAAAUAACACUAUUUGUAAUUAUAACAUCGAUGACUUUUUAACGGUGUACUUUAUGCUUUCAAGCAUUAGCCAGAUAUUGGUACAGAAUAAUUUGCUAUGCUAAUCUUUAACCAUAUUUUGUAUAGAUUUUCUUUCUAAAGUUGAUCAUAUCCAUGUCUUUUUUUUGUAAGAAAAUAUAAUGAAAUUGACUUAAAAACAAUAAAAAUGACCUGAGAUGUUUAAUAGUAUCAUUCAAAACUUCUCUUUAGUUUUUUCAUUCAUACAUAAGAAUCUUUGCCUACCCAAUAUUUAUGGGUAAAGUUUACAUUAACAUACCACCAAGACUUAUAUUCAUUUUUGCAGAUUAAAAGAAAAUGGAGAGGGAGAAAAUUAUAAACUUUUUUAAUGCUGGCUUAGAUUGAUUCUGUAUUCAUUUUGUUUUACUCUUUUUGUACUUAUCCUCCAACUCAACAUCAACAUCAACAUUUGUUACAUUUAUUCUAUUGACAGCUAUUAAAAAUUAAAUAUUUUUAUUCAACCCAAUUAGAAGAUCAGAUUGUGUAUAUCUGAUUCUAACCUAUUGCCACUAAAGAUUCUAAAAAGCAAAUUUUUUUUUUACUAUUGAAAUAUUCAUCAUCUUUGUUUUUAUGAUUAGAAAAGGAAAAAAUUUUAACUCAAUCUUAUAAAAUUAAUUUAUAAUUUGAAGUUUACACUUAUAUCAAAAACAACAAUUUAUGUAUGAGACAAUAUAUUAUGAAUGGUCGGAUAAAAAUUUAAUAAAAUUUGCAUCUAUUUAUAUAAAUAUUAUAAAAAUUUUAGUCUCUAAUAAAAAACAAAUAUUUUCAUGUAUGCAAACUGCAAUCAGCACUAUAUUCAGUUCUAAUGCGUUCCGCAACAUAGCGUGAGCGUGGGGUACAGAAUAAGUACCAGGCAACCCUUUUUCAUCUUACAAAUCACAUGCAAUUCAUUCCUUACUUUGCCAUUUAUAUCACAUAUCAUUACUAUAUCAUUUUUUCUUUCUUCUACAUAAUAAUUAAUUAACAUACUUAAUUAAAAUUAUUUUUUCAAUAUAGUUCCAGACUAACUUUUUCUUUUAUCAUUUUCUAUUACUGAAAAACGUGACUUCAUCCAACGUUGCUGCUGCGUAACUAUUUUUGUAGUGACAACAUGCGAUGGAGCUAUUUUUGUAUUUUUGUUUCAGAACAAGAAAACAUAAAUUUUUGUACCUUACAAGAGUUAUAACGAUAAAACAUAACUCCAAAAAAUGAAAAAAUGAAUAUACGCCAAAAAAAAAACAUAUUUAAAACACAGCAUUUUUAUUAUUAGUAUAUAAAACCUCUCCAUGAAAUUUGUCGUUCCCUUCUCUCCAAAGUUGGUCAUUACAGAAAUAUUUUUCCAACUUUUAAAUUAAUUAUUUAUCUUGUUAUAUUUAAUAAUUUCACACAUAGAUUAACGACAAUUUAAAUAUUUAUUUUUUUUUAAAUAUGAAAAAAUAAAUUGUAAAUUUAAUUUAAUUUCAUAAAAUCAGUUUAUAAGAUGAAGUUUACAUCUACUUAUAUAUAUUAUAAAAUGUUUUUAUCUUUAAUCAUUGUUCAAUAAAUUAUUUUUAAUUUAUGCGGAAUCUCUAACAAGUUAUCUCAAAUCGAUGUAUAAUUUUCAACAAAUUAUUUCUAAUUGAUGUGUAAUUUCCAACUGUUCUAGCCAACUUAAGGUCGGUCGGAAUUUGGAUGAGCAAGACCUUCUGGAAACAAGAGGGGUUCCUCCUGCAAUGACACUCUGACGCUCAAGUCAGUAAGAGCAUAAAUAUAAUGAGUAUAAUAUGAAAUAGGAGUUGAGAGUACUCCCUGUGUUGUUUAUUAGAUGUUUAGAUGAUCUUUUUCUGUAGAGUAUUAUCAGGUAUAUAUAGACUAAAUUAUAACCUCUUCACCUUUAGUCAUGAUUCUGUCUUAAUUGAGUCAUUAAGGAUGAUUAAGUCUGAUUGAUUGUGAUCUCUUGACUUGUGCUCCUUCAUAAUGUUAGAUACACAAAUCGGAAAACGACUCAUAAAUGACCAAACAUCGGACCAGGUCUAUGAUCUAACAACAACAAAUUAUUUCUAAUAGAUCUCGAAUAUCGAAAAGUUGCAUAAACAACACCAAUCAGUUGAAGUAUAGCUUGGGUUGCGUGUUCGAAUUUUCUUGAAUGAUUUUUUGUUUUGGGGCCAAUGUGUCUGAGAGUCCCACCAAAGCAGUUCUUGGACCAAGCAAAUUCUGAUAGUUACUUACCUUCUUAUCCAGUUCAGUAUAAACUCCAAGGUCCACCUCUCUCUACACACUACCUUUUCUUUCUUUAUCCAUCCUAAACUUCUUUUCACUACUUCUUUCAUUGCAAAUAAUAAAUAAAUUAUUUUCACCAAAACAAAAAUCAAUUAAGAUAUUUAUUCAUUUUACUUACUUCUAUAUUCUUCAAUUUAUUAUAUUUUUAAUUUAAUCUGAGACUUUAUUAAAGUUCAAGUGAUUUCCACAUUGUAAGUAUUUUUUUCUUAAAGAGAUUUUAUCUUUGAACUCCUCUUCUAGCUCCCUCAAACAAAACAUGUUAUCAUACUUCUAUGUUUAUGCUAAGAUUCUCGAUCUCUCUAUAUAUGGAUACACUUUAAAAAAACUUUUAAUGCAACAUAUCUAUCGAAUACCGUGAGACUCAUUCAUUGGCUUCAUACUAAUAAAUUAUAUAAGUGAAUCACACAUUACAUUCAAUCUCAAUAAAACAUUUAAGUAUUAUAUUUAUGAAUUCCACAAAUCCAAAUUUAACUUUUAUUUUAAUUUUAAAGUAAUAAUCACUAUUCAACUAAAAUUUGAUCUCAUGUAUAACAAGAAGCAAAACAAAUAUUGGGUGUUAAUUUUUUUUAAAUAAGAGCUUUUUUUUGUUAGGUAUCACUAUGCAACUUAAGAUCUUAGUUAAACUGACACCUUAAGUAACAACAAUCAUUCGUCAUCACCUAAAAAAAAUUAUAAAAAUACGGAAUACUAAAUCAAAACUCAUAUGUUAACAAAAACUAUACAUAAAUACUAAAAUAUAAAAAAUUUAACAUAUAGAGAAAAUAGUAUAGUACACUCCUAUCUUAAAAGACUAGUAUAAUGUUACAUGACAUUUGAGUAAUAAUAUAAAUAAUUCAUAUACAUUAACUAACUCAAUAAUAUAAUAUGUGUAACUUAUACACAUUAGCCAAGUUGUGGAUCGAAUUAAACUAAAGAAGGAAGAAAAUAGAACCUAACUAUAGAAUAAUACAUGGGGGGUCUAUCAUUAUGAAUAAUGAAACACUCAAUUAAGCGUCUACAUCAUGCUGAUGUUUACAAUAAGCAUCUGGGUUAUAGAAUAUUAAUUUUGGCUCUUGUUAAUUGCUUUUAAUUAAUCAGUGGAGAAGUUCAUAGAAAUUUUGCAAUCAAAGGGUGGUAUAAAACCAUAUAAAAUGUCUCAAAGGAGUCAUGGAAAAUGACUACACAGAGGAUUUUCAAAUAUGUACGCAGAGUAAUAUGUAUAUAGUAAAGUGAGUGUUGUUGGCAACCUGAAACAAGAACAACCAAUCAUGGCUAGAAAACACAGAAGUAGGGACCCACACAAGGAUGAUCAAGUGUGUUGUAUAGAAUAAUGGUGUGGGCAUGAAAGAGGCUUUCUUUUGCUUUAUCCACCAUCAUCACCAUCUUCUUAUUUUAAGACUUAGUUUUUUUUAAUAAGUAAAGAAUAAAAUGAGAUACUUUAGAAUAAUAAGAAAGUGGUCAAGGUCAACCUACUCAAUAUCGUACUUACAGAUAUUCUUCAGAAUUUACAAACCGUUAAAUCAAUCUUCAAGAUUGAAAGGAAUGGUAAGCCACAUCAAAAGAAAUCAGCAUCUACAGUAUCAGGGUCCUUAUAACCAAUCUUUAAUCAAAAUAAUACAAACAAAACAUCUCCUAAUACAAUCAGAAACUCACAAACACAUUUAUUAAUCAAAUUUUCUCACCUACAAACAAAUACCCACUCAAAACUGAAUCUGCUUACUUCAAACUUCAAUAACACCGUGGCUUAAGCAACUUGAUAAAGGAGUAGGACCCAUUUUCUUUCAUCAAAAUAUUGUGUCUCUAUCUUUUAACCAAGGGUGCAUAUUUGACAAGCACACCAUAAUAUAGAGAAAUGCAAUUCCAUGUCAUACUCUCAAAGUAUUUUUCUUUCUAAAGGAAAGAAAAAAGAGAAAGGGUUAGAUUAUGAUCCUAAUAGUAGUAGGAAGUGUAGAAGGUGGGUUGUGAGAUAUACAAGUAUCCAUCAACCCACUACUUUUUCACUCUAAUAAUGUGCUCCUACAAGGCUGCCAACACAUACUUGGUAGAAAAAAGAAAUAAAUAAUUGGAGUGGAGAUUAUUCUUAGCAUAUGCCACUUAGAUAUGAAUACUUGCAUUUUCAUUAUUUGCAGGUUCUUUUUUUGGGCACAGCCACAAUGAUGAAGGAAUAUUUCUUCCAUCAUUUUACUUUUAAUUCCUGUUCUAAGCACACCAUUAAUUGCUCAUAUUUUACUAUUUCUUCCAAUGUCAAGUUAAUUAAAGUAAUAAGAUUAUUAGAGUUAAUCAUCAUGUUUUUGUAACAAUUUUAUUGUUAGAAUUUUUUCACUAUAUAAAUAAUAAAUGAGGUGUAGAUUAAGAGAAGAAGAUACAUAAAAAUGAUUAUUAAUAUAAAUUUUUAAGUGAUCUGAAACUUGUAAGUGUUAAAACAUAAAUAAACACUUGUUAAAUAUAGAAUGAAAUGAAGAGAUAAAUAGUUUACCUAUCGGUAGCACAAGUUUUCUGUUUUUCAAUAAACAUUUAAAAAAUCCUUAAUUUCAUUGUAAAAAAAUGUUAUAAAAUUAAGAAAAUAUGGGUAAAAUGUGUCCGUAUCCUUAAACAUAUCUAAGAUUUAGUAUUAUGAGUUUUCAAAUUUAUCUUUUUCGUCUAAUUUUACAAUGUCUAUUUUUAUUCUUCUGAACUAUUCAUUUUUUAACAUUAUUUAAACUAUUUAAAGAACAAAAAAUUAAAAAAAAAAAAACUUAAAAAUUAAGGUAGCAAUUCCCCAAUUGAAGCAUUCCUAUCUAUUCCCAGUUUUGUUGUAUAGUAGUAAUUGAAGUUCAACAAUGAAAAAUGCUAUAAAACAUUAAGCAUCUGAAUUUUGCAGCAGAGUAGCAAGUUUCCAUUACAGGGAACGAGGGUAACUAUGCAUAUAUGUGCUAUGACGAACUUAGAUCUUAUAGGUGAAACCAAAUCAGUAAACAAGUUUAUAUUUAAGUAUUUAAAAAUAUAAUAUAUACUAUGUAAGAAAUACACACUUAUAUAAUUUUAAUUGCUGGAGAGUUUUUUUUCAGAUUAAAUUACAGUAUGAAAAUAGCAUGAGAUUGGUGAAGAGGACUUCAUUUUCAUCAUAAAUACAUAAUAGAUAAUAUUAUUUAUAUAAUGUAUUUAUUUAAAUUAUUAUAUUGUUAUUAUAUUAUAAUAUAUUUAUUAUAAAAAAAUAUAUUCAUUAAUUUAUUAUGUUAUAUUAAAUUCGUAAAAGUAUGUUAACUUAUACUAUUGCGAUAUAUUUAAUUUCAUUUCAUCUAAAUAAUAUGGGUCAACGUACUAGUUUUAUUACAAACUACAUAUUUAAUUAUAUAUAUGAAAUAAACAAUAUAGUUCAUUCUCGUUUAGUUUUAUCAUAUUCAAGUAAUUUUUGAGUUACCUAUCAUAUUUUUUUACAUUUUUAUUUUAUUUUAUUUUAAAUUAUGGAUAUAAUAUUUAUAAUUAGAUUUAAUUUUUAUAUAAUAACUUCAUAAAAGGCUUUAAUUCCGUCAUUAUUUUCUAUCAUGACAAACUACCAUUUCAUAUCAAAACUUAUGUAUGUUUUUGUUUUUUUUUUAUAAUAUGUGAUAACUUUUAGUUUUAUUAUUUUAUAAUUUGAUUUUUAUUUAUAUUUUGUAUCUUGUUAAAAGAAUUAAAUCUAUUGUCAUAGACUCAUUAUAAACGUUGGUACCUAUAGAACGCAAACUGAAAGUUUAUUUAAUAUAUGAAUUCAUAAAACCGAGGUUCGGAUACCAUAUUACAAAAUGGACUUUAAGUCUAACUCAACUCCCAUAAAACUGACUCAUAAGGUUGAGAUUUGUACUCACUUAUAUAUAAUGAAAUACUCUAAUCUCUAGUACAUGGGAUCUCCAACAAAAUAUAAAAAAAAAUCAUCUACGUAGUAAUCAAUUUUAUUUUAUUUUUUAAAAAUGAAAUAAACAAUCAUUUUAACCUAUUUAUAAAAACUAGCAUAAAAUAGUAUAAAUCUAACACUUUUGCAUUUGACGUGGGAAAUCGUGUUUUUAAGCUUUUUCUUUUGUUAAUCCCAUGUUACAUAACACAAAUAGAUAAGUUCUCUAAGCAUAGUGGAUGGAGAAAUUGUCUUUUAUUAACACUUCUGUUUUCAAGAAUAUUAUUGUUAUGACUUUGGACCAUGAACAAACCAAUCCACAUAAAAUGAAUCACUACAGCAGGAAAAGUGUGAACUGAUUUGUGACGGUUUUUAGUUAGGAAUUAUCCUCGUAACUUGGUUUUGUUUAACUCUCAGCAACUGAAACACGCUGUGUUUGGUUAUCUCUCACUCUCAAACUUUAUUUCACAUGUUGGCAUUGAUUUGUAACAGGGACGAACAAACGAAGGGACAGUGAAUAGGGUUAGUUUAUAUGUGAGAUUUUAAUACCAAUUUAAGAAUGAAAAAUUUGCAUCAACAUGAAAAUUUACAAACGAAGGGAAAUAACUUCUUUUUCAUGAGUCAACUGCUUAAUUAAUACUAGUCAUAACCAAUUUUUCAUUAAUAAAUAAUUAAAAAUAACAAACAACUAACGAGUUUUAUACAUAAUACAAAGUCUUUUUCUUUUUUUGAGUAAGAACUACAAAUAUAAAUAAAAGAAAAAACAAUAAUUUAUCAAACAAGUCAAAAUAACUAUUUAAAACUAAUAUUUAGGGAAGAAGUACAUUAUAAAAUAAAAAUAAUAAUUUAACAUCACAACCAAUUGAAAAUUGAAAUGAAAACAAAUUUUUUAUAAAAGAUGAAAAGAAGAAUAAAUAAACUGAAGAAAAAAGUUUACAUUAUUCCUUUAUCUUUAUAGGUUGAGACAUUUGUUUAUUUAAAAUUAUGUUGUAACUUGAGAAACUAUAAUACAUAAAAUUAAUAGAUUUUUUGUGCACGGUUAGAAGAUCUUUUAAAUGUUUUACUUUAAUAUUUUUGUUUUUCACCGUAAAAAAAACAUCAAUAUUCCUUAUUGAUUGUAAUUGUCUUACAAAUAACCAUUUAUUUUCAACACCAACCCCGAGCUGAAGGAAAUUAGUGAUGCAAAUGCACAUUGUAGAUUAUAUAUUCUUUAACAAAACUCCUUGCUGUGUGGUAUGAGGAUAUAACAUAACUUUAAUAGAAUAUAUAUUUAAUUAUUUUAUUUUUGUAUAGUAAAAAGAGAAUCAUAUAAAAUAAAAUAUAAUAUAUAUUUAUAAAAAAGUAUAAUAAAAAAAUAUAGAAAUAAGGGUUUGUGUUUUUGAAAAAAUAAAACAAGAAUAAAAAUGAUAACAUGACGUGACACUGUUAUAUUCAUUAUGAAUUGGGUGGGACAAUGUGGUGAAUGAAUGAAAAACAAAAGUAGCUUUGGAAAACCACUUGGAAGAUUUUGUUUUCCAUAAACCUUUGUUUGAAGUACGAACACCACUUUGGUUGGUGAAUUGUGGUAAAAAAUAGUAAAAUAUGAUUCCCGAAAAUGAAAAAGCAGGUCAAAUUUAAAAAGUAGGAGAUCCAAAACGUGGUGAAUGAAUGGAUUUUGCGUUAAGAGGUAAAUUUGGAAAGAAAAUGGAAACCACCAUGAAAUUAUAAGAAAUAGGAAAAGCGAAACGCUUUUAGGGGGAAGCUAUUUUAUCAACUGAUUUCUCCUCAUUCAACAUGUGCCGUUUAUAAACAUUGUGAUUGUUUCGAAAUAUAAUAAGUAGAUUCCAAUGAUGUCUCCAUUAAAAAAUAAUUAUUAUGACAAAUAUAAAUUAUGUACUAUAGCUUAUUAAUUAAAAAUUAUACUUAUUCAAUGGAUUAAUGACUUUAUGAUCCAUAGAUUCAUAUAUUUCUCAUAUUCAUACAUAAUUCAAAUAUACUAAAAUAUAAUGAUUUAAAAUAAAAUCAUUAUUUAGCUAACAACUAAAAAUAAAUAAUGUUUGAAUGAAAAUAACAACAUUAAAUAAUAUAUAAGAGGAUACCUAUUAAUACAAAAAUAAAUAUUUGUACAAUCUUAUAUCUACUAAUCCUAAUUACAAAUCAUAUUAAAAAUCAAUUAAAGGUAAUCUUGAUAUGUAAAUACAAAUUUAAAUAAAUGAUUAUGAGAAAACUAUUUGAUUAUUUUAUUUGCAGUCAUUUCAACGAUAUUCAAUACAUACAUAGAUAUAACAAUAUUUAUAAGACGUUCAAAAGAAUAAGAUUGUUAUUUUAACACUUUCUUCGUAUUAAGAUGCAUUUGUUGAAUUUAAUGGACCAAUAAGUAUUAUCUAUCCAUUAAUAUACACAUCUUCACAUUAGUGCAAAAACGAUGUUUAACAAUAACUUUUAAUAUCGUUUGAUAGUCACACGAUAUCAACAAAAUGCGGUGACAUUUUUGUGAAUAAUGUGAACAUACAGAUAACGGUUGUGGGAAGAAUUGUCGUCUAUACACAAUGGGGAGAAAAUAUUUGAGGGGGCAUAAGUGAUAGUUAUAGAGAGAACCUUCCCCUAUUUGAAGAGACUUCAUAGUCUUUUCUAGUCAAAACCCAAACCUCUUUCCUUGCAUGCUCACUUGGAUUGUAAGUUUUGAAAGCUUUCCUUUUCUCCAUUGUCAUUGAUACGUUGUUUUCUUCAUGUUUUGAUGUUUUGUUUGGGUAUAAAAGUGAGGGUUAUAGGCGGUUCUCUCCGGAUUUAUUUAAGUAUUUAGGAGUUGGCGGGGUGUGCGUUGUAAAAAAGAUUAAAGGUCGUGUGUUUUGUAUAAAGGUUGGGUCACCCCUAAAAUAACUCACAUUUAUUCAUGGUUUAUUGCUGAAAAAAAAAACGUUGUUUUCUUCCAUUUUGCUUUGUUUGUUAGUUUUUUCUUUCAUUUUUGUUGUUAAUGGUAUUUUUUUCUAGGUAAUUGAUCUCUAUUCAAGGUCUGUUGUUCUCUAGUUUUUGGCUUCCUCUGCCACAGUCAUUAGUUGCUUCUUCGUUGCUGGUUCCUUCGCUGCUAGAGCUUUUUGCAUUCUCCUUGUUACCUCUCGGUUAUACUCCACUACCAGGUUAGUUUUUAUUUAUUUUUAAUUAUAUUUUAUUUAUUUAAUUUUUUUAUUUGUAUUGAAAUAAUUUUAUAAUUAUUUUUAAGAUUUAUAAUUAGUAUCGUUAUAGUUAAUAUUAUAUUAACUAUAUAAUUAAUAUUAAUAAAAUUUUAUAGUUAAUAUUAGCGUCUAUAAUUAAUAUUAUUUUAGUUAAUAUGAUUUUAAUUAUAUAGUUAAGAUUAAUAAAAUUUAAUCAUUAAUAUUAGGAUUUAUAAUUAGUAUUAAUAAAAUUUUCUAAUUAAUUUAAAUUUUUAUAAUUGAUAUUAUUUUAGUUAAUAAAAUUUAAUAGCCAUCAUAUUAGGGUUUAUAGUUAGUAUUAAUAAAAUUUUAUAAUUAAUUUUGUGAUUUCUAAUUAAUAUUAUUUUAUUUAUAUAAUUAAUAUGAACAUAAUUUUAAUAUUUAUUGUUGAAUCCAGUAAGAAAUUAAUAUGUACUUAUUAAUUUAUAUUUAUGUAUUAUAUUUAAUUUAAUAAAAAUAUUUUUUAUUUUGUAGUAUCAGAAAUCAAGUCCGCAAAGAAAGAAGCACUUAGUUUACAUUGACAUUAUAUAGUCGUACUAUUAGAGAUUGUUAUGACUAAUGAUACUUUGAAAGAAAUAAUUGUUAGAAUUAAAAGCCUAAAUAGAAAGGGUGAAUUGUUUUUGAAAGAUUUUCAUAAGUAUUAAAGGUAGAGUAAAAAACUAUAAAAUUAAUUAAUUGAAAAUAUGUUUAGUCAAAUAGAAAAAAAAAUUGAUUACAGAAAAUUAACCAGAUGUUUUUACGAAACAACCAACAGAUUUGAAAAUAAAGUUAAAAUAAUUUAAUGAGUAUAAGAAUAAAGAGGUUCACACAAGAUAUUUAUACUGGUUCACUCUUAACCAAAAGUUACACCAAUUAAUCAUUGAAAAUUUACUAUGUAAUCAAACACAUACAAAAAGUGAUGUUAUUGAACUCCCUCAGAACACACACCACUUUUGGAAAAUCAAACUGUUUCCAUAAACACCUUCUGAAACUACACCACACUAGAACACAGAGAAAUACAAUGUUCAAAUAAGAAGGGAAUAAAAUACACCUGGGUAAAUCAAAGUUUAAAAUUCAUAAGUACAAAAUCUAAUACUAUUCCACACACUUGAGAUGACCCAAAAGCUUUUGAAAUCUUAAAAAUUGUUUUUGAUUAAUCUUUCUUUCUUAGUUAAUGUAUAUGAGUAUAAAACAACAUUUUAUACUUUAAUCAAUUAGUCAAAGCAGUUAAAUAAAAAACCAGAAACAGUUACAAUCAUUUAAAACAGAUUGGAACCACCUAAUAGAAUUUUGUUAAGGUUUAAAAAAAAAACAAUUGAUUCCUCAAAACAAUUGAUUGAAUCUAUUUGACAGUAAAGCCAAAACAAAGCAAAGUUUUUCUAACCAUUUUAAAAAUCAUUAAGUGUCAAACAACCAGUUGAUUUGACAUUUCAACAUGUUAAAAUUGUACAACCUUUUAGAAAAAACAUAUUUUCAAAAAGAUUAAGAUUCAAUUAACAUUGAAUCAUCUUAAGGAGUGAAUUAACAAGUUUCAAACAACUAAGCAACACACACAUCAACAGAGUCUUCAAGUUUUCCACUUGGAUUUGGAGACCUCAAAACACCUUGUUCAACAAUAAUGACAUCCCUUUAUACAUACACAGGUAUGAUGUGUUAAAGAUUGCAGCUACCAACGAGUACCUAAAUAUAUCCGUCAUUUAAUUUGAAUGAUAUAAAUCACUUCCACCUAUAAAUCAAUUUACUUUAUUAUAUUAAAUUAUUAAUUAUUUUUAACUAAUUAUAUUUGUAGUUAUUUAUCUAGCCUUUUUAGUAGUAAUGAGAAAACAUUAUGUCUCUAGAUUCAUGAGUUAAUUAGUUCAAUAAGAAAUAAACAACCUAAAACUCAGACAUACACUAUCAAUUAUCUGCUUACAGAAAAGCAUAUAUAUUUUGCCCUUCUUAUUCAUGAGUAAGAUACAAAAUUGUACCUCUGAUAUUAAAAGUGAAUUUAAAGCUUUUUGUAAGAUUAUGUUUUGCUUUAAAUUUCAAAAGUACACAAUGCUGUUGUUCAGAUGACCAAGCCUGGAUCAAAAGGCCUAUGAAUAUAGAAUUGGUUAAAAGAAAUCUUAGCAUAUAAGAAACAUUCAAGAAUUAACCAAGUCAUGAUAAUUCCCACAAAUGUUGGACAUUCUUCUUGGGGAAACAUUUGAAAUUGCAUCAACCCUCACUCUUGUAACAUGAGCAGGUUCUUACUCUCUCAGGGGGUGACAUGAACUUUUCCAGUUACUAAACUUAAAUACAAAUCAGUGAUUAAUGUGAGUGAAGUUUUGCAGAUUUUAGAUUGAUUCCAUUCCCACUUUCCUUGAUUAGACCCAUCAACAAAUUGCUAAGCUAGGAAAGUUCUCAAUCACUAUCACCCUAAACCCACUUAUGCUUUUGCCAAUGGAUCACUAAAAUCACUUAUGCCCACUAACUAUAACAUUCCAAACCUUCCUAUUAUAGAAACAGGAUAAUCUCAUCCACAAUUUGGGGAACACCCAUUUCAUCACAGCCGUCCAUUCUCCACCAAUGCCAUCCCUUGGAUCAAAUCUUGAUGUGGGUCCCACCACCAAAAACCAAACCGCCCACACAAUUAUACCAUUUGUUUUUUUAUUCCCAAUCUAGGGCGGCUGACCUAAUUUCUGUUUUCGACAACCAAUGCCUUCCACUUUCCUUCCUCCAAUUAAAACACGACACGUGGCUUCAACUAUGACCCAAACAUUGACCAGCCCCUCAUAAACCGGCUCGGGUGGGUCCCAUCAGAUUUUAGCCACCACUAAUCCCAAAAGUUAAAAAUCAGAAAAUUCACUUGAAAGAAUAAAAAAUCAUGAGAGGAAAUAAUUGUGUACCAAACCCACUAAAUUAUAUUACUCAUUAUUAGAAUCUUCAGUUUAUAAUGGUGAUCCAAUAAUUCAAGAUUAAAUAUUUUUUUUUACAAUUUUGAUAAAUUUACUAGUAGUGUUGAGUAAUUGAAGUGAAUAUAGACACAAGAUUUAAUAAAAUCUAUUACUAUUAUAUCAGCAUUCCAUAUAUAGACAGUCCACCUAUUUGGGAAGAGUACAAUGUCACUGUCUUCAUCCCCACCCCACAGGUUUACCAAAGCACUAUUUACACCCAACCCCAAAACUUAAGUAUAAUUGCUUUAGAAACCAAACCUAUAAUGUUCCUCACCGUCUUGUACUUUGGGUUGAAAGGAACUUGCUUAUUUUGCUACACAUUUUUUUUUUCUGAAACUAUUUAACAGAUGUUUAUUUUCUACUUUCUCAACAUUUUCCACUUCCUAUUGGAUUUUUCCUAUAUGGACAAACAAUAUUAACAGGUAAGGAACAGAGAAGGGAACACUUCCAGCACCGGCCUUUUUCAGCAAAAAGCACGAGUGUUGGAACGGGUGAAACUGCAUGGAGAAAGUUGCAUUUUGAGGUAAAUAUGAGGGCAUUUCAGCAAUAACCUAGAGUUACUAUCUGUCUAGUAUUCUAUCACUAGUCCUCCCAUUGGGGCACGGUGUGGUAUUCCCUUUCUUCUCUUGGCCGUUCUGUAAUUAACCGAAGUUGGUGGUGGGGUGGACGGUGUGAAACUCUGCACCUUGUUGCUGUUGUUCUUCCCAUGGCUGCUGUUGCUGCUGUAUGAAUCCUCUGAGUCUGAUGCCAUUGUUGUUGACUUUUUCUUCUUCUCGAAGUUCCUUGAAGUCCCCACAAUCUACAAUUCAUUCUUGCAUUCAUUAAUAUUUAAUUCAAAAAAAUACCACACUUCAAAUCAAGAAGACGGAGACCAUUCAAAUUUUUAAAGAUCAACUUGAAAAUCCAAAAUUCAAAUAUUGGGUAGAGCAAUUAAUUGAAAACCCACAGUAACAUUCAUCAGCAUAAAUGAAAAAGUCAAACCCAUUCAAGUGCUGGCUUGAUAACAAAGCAAACUAUGGUAAACAAAAUGGUAGCUUGGUUUAAUAUUAUUAAUAUAUCAAUAUCAAUGCCAUGGUUUUUAAUUCAAAGAAAAAGGGAUUGAAAAAGGAGAUGCUGAAACUGAAAAAGGAAACCCUUUUUUUUUGGAUUUGAAAAGGCUUGGAAUCUCAAGCAAUGGAUGGCAUUGUGUGGAGUGAAUAUUUACCUUGCAACCAAGAGAACAGAAACGGUAUGAAUCAAGAAGGCUACGCUCACAGACUUCACAAGUGUUGGUGACUCCUUUACCAGGCCUUGGCUGAGGCCUCUCAUUCAAGAAAACAACCCUUGCACUGUUGAUAAUGUAGGUUUGGACCCCUGUAAUGUCCAAAACCUUCUGAAUCUCGUUCACCCUAAUCACAUCAUGGUAUGAGGACCUUCUUAUCUGUCACCAAAAGAAAAAACAGAGCACAUUAGAAGGGAAUGGACAUUUGUUGCAUUGAAAAAACAUCUUUUGGUUCCAAGGCUGUGACUUUUACCUAUCCCACCACAGGACUUGUUAAAAGGAGGAGCGUGGAAAUUAAGGGAAAAAAAAGGGAAUUAAUCAACCACCCAAAACAGUUAAUAAUUUGGCACAUAAGAAAAUUGAAAUCGGAACCCAAUUAAUGACAGUUCAAAUGUCUCAGCAGAGAAGGGGGAAAAGAUGGGACUUUUUAACUAAGUUCCAGAAAAAGAAGGAAUCUAACACGCCCACAAAAGGAAAAGUGAUUGUUUUUAACAACAAUGAGUGAGGAUCAGAAGUGUGUCAGAAGCUGAGAAAGAAAGAAAGAGAGAGAGAGUUGAUAAUAGGAACCUGAAUAGCACGGUGAUCUUUGUGGUAACCGAGGCAGAGGGAGCAGAGUGCGCCGUUCAUACAAUCCAAGCAGUACAUGUUGCACUCGCUCUUGUGCGAAUCAGCGUGCAACUUGCAUUGAACAAAGAAGCUCUCUUUGAGCAGAGGCUUCAGCCACGGUGGCCACCGGUUGUCCGCGUCAUCAGGGCCUCCAGAACCCUUCUCAAAAAAUUCAAAAUUUGAAUGAGACCCAGAAAGCAGAAGAAUGAUUAAUUGCACUUUUUUACAGAACAAGAAGAAAACAGUGAGAAAGUGGAGGGAAGAUGCACGAAAGCAUAAGUUGAGUGAAAGUGGGAGAUUGAGUUACCAUGAUUCUGCGGUUCUUGGGCUUGAUUUCUCGGACAGUGAUGGUUUGGUUUUGGAACGCCAGCUUGAAGGAGGUGCUUUUGAAGAAGUGAAGUGUGCUGUGGUGAAUUUGAGGAAGUGGGGGAGAGUGUGUUGCUCUGAAGAAGAAGAAAAAGAAAAGAGAAAGAAGAGAAAGAGUGAGAUUUUGAGGCGGUGUGAGAGGGAAUGGGUUCUUGUAGAAUUUGGAGGCGGUAGAAUAGAAGAUGUUUGAGAGAGAAAGAGAGAGAAAGAGAAAAAAAACAAGACAGAGUGUGUAUGAGAGAGAACAGAGGUUGUUCUUAUCCACACAACAAAG